CUAAUAAGAAAAGUUGCUAUAAAUGUCAAACUCUACAACUUUUAGUUUGACAAAAUCUUAAGUUUCUAUACAAAAUUUCAUGUUUCGAAUUUAACGCAAAAUUGAGCUUUUAUGGGCAAAUUUGACUUUUCACUUGUUGGAUUAGUGUCUAAGCCUCCUAAUCAAGCGUAACCAAGUAUAAAUUGCUAGAGCACUUAGAGUGUUUGAAGUGAUUUUGAAUUGCUGCUGAUUUGAUUCUAGCUUUUGAACCUCUUCCUCUCCAACCAUUCAAAGUGCUAAUAACAAAAGUUGCUAGAAAUGUAAAACUCUACAACAUUUCGUUUGACAAAAACUUCAGUUUCUAUACAAAAUUCCAUGUUUCGAAUUUAACCCAAAAUUGAGCUUUCAAGGGAAAAUUUGACUUUUCACUUGCUGGAUUAGUGUCUAAGCCUCCUAAUCAAGCGUAACCAAGUAUAAUUUGCUAGAGCACUUAGAGUGUUUGAAGUGAUUUUGAAUUGCUACUGAUUUUGAUUCUAGCUUUUAAAACCUUUUCUUCGCGAAACCGUUUAAAGUGCUAAUAAGAAAAGUUGCUAUAAAUGUCAAACUCUACAACUUUUAGUUGACAAAAUCUUAAGUUUCUAUACAAAAUUUCAUGUUUCGAAUUUAACGCAAAAUUGAGCUUUUAAGGGCAAAUUUGACUUUUCACUUGUUGGAUUGGUGUCUAAGCCUCCUAAUCAAGCGUAACCAAGUAUAAUUUGCUAGAGCACUUAGAGUUUUUGAAGUGAUUUUGAAUUGCUAGUGAUUUUGAUUCUAGCUUUUGAACCUCUUCCUGUCCAAACCAUUCAAAGUGCUAAUAAGAAAAGUUGCUAGAAAUGUAAAACUCUAAAACUUUUCGUUUGACAAAAUCUUAAGUUUCUAUACAAAAUUUCAUGUUUCGAACUUAACCCAAAAUUGAGCUUUUAAGGGCAAAUUUGACUUUUCACUUGCUGGAUUAGUGUCUAAGCCUCCUAAUCAAGCGUAACCAAGUAUAAUUUGCUACAGCACUUGGAGUUUUUGAAGCGAUUUUGAAUUGCUACUGAUUUUCAUUCUAGCUUUUGAACCUCUUCCUCUCCAAACCAUUCAAAGUGCUAAUAGGAAUAGUUGCUGGAUUAGUGUCUAAGCCUCCUAAUCAAGCGUAACCAAGUAUAAUUUGCUAGAGCACUUAGAGUGUUUGAAGUAAUUUUGAAUUGCUACUGAUUUUGAUUCUAGAUUUUGAACCUCUUCCUCUCCAAACCAUCCAAAGUCCUAAUUAGAAAAGUUGCUAGAAAUGUAAAACUCUACAACUUUUCGUUUGACAAAAACUUAAGUUUCUGUACAAAAUUUCAAGUUUCGAAUUUAACCCAAAAUUGAGUUUUCAAGGGCAAAUUUGACUUUUCACUUGCUGGUUUAGUGUCUCAGCCUCCUAAUCAAGUGUAACCAAGUAUAAUUUGCUCGAGCACUUAGAGUUUUUGAAGUGAUUUUGAAUUGCUACUGAUUUUGAUUCUAGCUUUUCGACCUCUUCCUCUCCAAACCAUUCAAAGUGCUAAUAACAAAAGUUUCUAGAAAUGUCAAACUCUACAACUUUUAGUUUGACAAAAUCUUAUGUUUCUAUAGAAAAUUUCAUGUUUCGAAUUUAACACAAAAUUUAGUUGUUCAGGGCAAAUUUGACUUUUCACUUGCUGGAUUAGCGUCUAAGCCUCCUAAUCAAGCGUAACCAAGUAUAAAUUGCUAGAGCACUUAGAGUGUUUGAAGUGAUUUUGAAUUGCUACUGAUUUUCACUCUAGCUUUUGAACCUCUUACUCUCCAAACCAUUCAAAGUGCUAAUAGGAAUAAUUGCUAGAAAUGUAAAAAUCUACAACUUUUAGUUUGAUAGAAUCUUAAGUUUCUAUACGAAAUUUCAAGUUUCGAAUUUAACCCAAAAUGCAUCUUUCAAGGGCAAAUUUGACUUUUGACUUGCUGGAUUAGUGUCUAAGCCUCCUAAUCAAGCGUAACCAAGUAUAAUUUGCUAGAGCACUUAGAGUUUUUGAAGUGAUUUUGAAUUGCUACUGAUUUUGAUUCUAGCUUUUGGACCUCUUUUUCUCCAAACCAUUCAAAGUGCUACGACAAAAAGUUGCUAGAAAUGUAAAACUCUACAACCUUUCGUUUGACAGAAUCUUAAGUUUCUGUACGAAAUUUCAGGUUUCGAAUUUAACCCAAAAUUGAGUUGUUAAGGGCAAAUUUGACUUUUCACUUGUUGGAUUGGUGUCUAAGCCUCCUAAUCAAGCCUAACCAAGUAUAAUUUGCUAGAGCACUUAGAGUUUUUGAAGAGAUUUUGAAUUGCUACUGAUUUUCAUUCUACCUUUUGAACGUCUUAUUCUCCAAACCAUUCAAAGUGCUAAUAGGAAUAGUUGCUAGAAAUGUAAAAAUCAACAACUUUCAGUUUGACAGAAUCUUAAGUUUCUAUACGAAAUUUCAAGUUUGGAAUUUAACCCAAAAUUAAGCUUUCAAGGGCAAAUUUGACUUUUCACUUGCUGGAUUAGUGUCUAAGCCUCCUAAUCAAGCGUAACCAAGUAUAAUUUGCUAGAGCACUUAGAGUGUUUGAAGUGAUUUUGAAUUGCUACUGAUUUUGAUUCUAGCUUUUAAAACCUUUUCUUCUCGAAACCGUUUAAAGUGCUAAUAAGAAAAGUUGCUAUAAAUGUCAAACUCUACAACUUUUAGUUGACAAAAUCUUAAGUUUCUAUACAAAAUUUCAUGUUUCGAAUUUAACGCAAAAUUGAGCUUUUAAGGGCAAAUUUGACUUUUCACUUGUUGGAUUGGUGUCUAAGCCUCCUAAUCAAGCGUAACCAAGUAUAAUUUGCUAGAGCACUUAGAGUUUUUGAAGUGAUUUUGAAUUUCUAGUGAUUUUGAUUCUAGCUUUUGAACCUCUUCCUGUCCAAACCAUUCAAAGUGCUAAUAAGAAAAGUUGCUAGAAAUGUAAAACUCUAAAACUUUUCGUUUGACAAAAUCUUAAGUUUCUAUACAAAAUUUCAUGUUUCGAAUUUAACCCAAAAUUGAGCUUUUAAGGGCAAAUUUGACUUUUCACUUGCUGGAUUAGUGUCUAAGCCUCCUAAUCAAGCGUAACCAAGUAUAAUUUGCUACAGCACUUGGAGUUUUUGAAGCGAUUUUGAAUUGCUACUGAUUUUCAUUCUAGCUUUUGAACCUCUUCCUCUCCAAACCAUUCAAAGUGCUAAUAGGAAUAGUUGCUGGAUUAGUGUCUAAGCCUCCUAAUCAAGCGUAACAAAGUAUAAUUUGCUAGAGCACUUAGAGUGUUUGAAGUGAUUUUGAAUUGCUACUAAUUUUCACUCUAGCUUUUGAACCUCUUACUCUCCAAACCAUUCAAAGUGCUAAUAGGAAUAAUUGCUAGAAAUGUAAAAAUCUACAACUUUUAGUUUGAUAGAAUCUUAAGUUUCUAUACGAAAUUUCAAGUUUCGAAUUUAACCCAAAAUGCAUCUUUCAAGGGCAAAUUUGACUUUUGACUUGCUGGAUUAGUGUCUAAGCCUCCUAAUCAAGCGUAACCAUGUAUAAUUUGCUAGAGCACUUAGAGUUUUUGAAGUGAUUUUGAAUUGCUACUGAUUUUGAUUCUAGCUUUUGGACCUCUUUUUCUCCAAACCAUUCAAAGUGCUACGACAAAAAGUUGCUAGAAAUGUAAAACUCUACAACCUUUCGUUUGACAGAAUCUUAAGUUUCUGUACGAAAUUUCAGGUUUCGAAUUUAACCCAAAAUUGAGUUGUUAAGGGCAAAUUUGACUUUUCACUUGUUGGAUUGGUGUCUAAGCCUCCUAAUCAAGCCUAACCAAGUAUAAUUUGCUAGAGCACUUAGAGUUUUUGAAGAGAUUUUGAAUUGCUACUGAUUUUCAUUCUACCUUUUGAACGUCUUAUUCUCCAAACCAUUCAAAGUGCUAAUAGGAAUAGUUGCUAGAAAUGUAAAAAUCAACAACUUUCAGUUUGACAGAAUCUUAAGUUUCUAUACGAAAUUUCAAGUUUGGAAUUUAACCCAAAAUUAAGCUUUCAAGGGCAAAUUUGACUUUUCACUUGCUGGAUUAGUGUCUAAGCCUCCUAAUCAAGCGUAACCAAGUAUAAUUUGCUAGAGCACUUAGAGUGUUUGAAGUGAUUUUGAAUUGCUACUGAUUUUGAUUCUAGCUUUUAAAACCUUUUCUUCUCGAAACCGUUUAAAGUGCUAAUAAGAAAAGUUGCUAUAAAUGUCAAACUCUACAACUUUUAGUUGACAAAAUCUUAAGUUUCUAUACAAAAUUUCAUGUUUCGAAUUUAACGCAAAAUUGAGCUUUUAAGGGCAAAUUUGACUUUUCACUUGUUGGAUUGGUGUCUAAGCCUCCUAAUCAAGCGUAACCAAGUAUAAUUUGCUAGAGCACUUAGAGUUUUUGAAGUGAUUUUGAAUUGCUAGUGAUUUUGAUUCUAGCUUUUGAACCUCUUCCUGUCCAAACCAUUCAAAGUGCUAAUAAGAAAAGUUGCUAGAAAUGUAAAACUCUAAAACUUUUCGUUUGACAAAAUCUUAAGUUUCUAUACAAAAUUUCAUGUUUCGAAUUUAACCCAAAAUUGAGCUUUUAAGGGCAAAUUUGACUUUUCACUUGCUGGAUUAGUGUCUAAGCCUCCUAAUCAAGCGUAACCAAGUAUAAUUUGCUACAGCACUUGGAGUUUUUGAAGCGAUUUUGAAUUGCUACUGAUUUUCAUUCUAGCUUUUGAACCUCUUCCUCUCCAAACCAUUCAAAGUGCUAAUAGGAAUAGUUGCUGGAUUAGUGUCUAAGCCUCCUAAUCAAGCGUAACCAAGUAUAAUUUGCUAGAGCACUUAGAGUGUUUGAAGUGAUUUUGAAUUGCUACUGAUUUUGAUUCUAGAUUUUGAACCUCUUCCUCUCCAAACCAUCCAAAGUCCUAAUUAGAAAAGUUGCUAGAAAUGUAAAACUCUACAACUUUUCGUUUGACAAAAACUUAAGUUUCUGUACAAAAUUUCAAGUUUCGAAUUUAACCCAAAAUUGAGUUUUCAAGGGCAAAUUUGACUUUUCACUUGCUGGUUUAGUGUCUCAGCCUCCUAAUCAAGUGUAACCAAGUAUAAUUUGCUCGAGCACUUAGAGUUUUUGAAGUGAUUUUGAAUUGCUACUGAUUUUGAUUCUAGCUUUUCGACCUCUUCCUCUCCAAACCAUUCAAAGUGCUAAUAACAAAAGUUUCUAGAAAUGUCAAACUCUACAACUUUUAGUUUGACAAAAUCUUAUGUUUCUAUAGAAAAUUUCAUGUUUCGAAUUUAACACAAAAUUUAGUUGUUCAGGGCAAAUUUGACUUUUCACUUGCUGGAUUAGCGUCUAAGCCUCCUAAUCAAGCGUAACCAAGUAUAAAUUGCUAGAGCACUUAGAGUGUUUGAAGUGAUUUUGAAUUGCUACUGAUUUUCACUCUAGCUUUUGAACCUCUUACUCUCCAAACCAUUCAAAGUGCUAAUAGGAUUAAUUGCUAGAAAUGUAAAAAUCUACAACUUUUAGUUUGAUAGAAUCUUAAGUUUCUAUACGAAAUUUCAAGUUUCGAAUUUAACCCAAAAUGCAUCUUUCAAGGGCAAAUUUGACUUUUGACUUGCUGGAUUAGUGUCUAAGCCUCCUAAUCAAGCGUAACCAAGUAUAAUUUGCUAGAGCACUUAGAGUUUUUGAAGUGAUUUUGAAUUGCUACUGAUUUUGAUUCUAGCUUUUGGACCUCUUUUUCUCCAAACCAUUCAAAGUGCUACGACAAAAAGUUGCUAGAAAUGUAAAACUCUACAACCUUUCGUUUGACAGAAUCUUAAGUUUCUGUACGAAAUUUCAGGUUUCGAAUUUAACCCAAAAUUGAGUUGUUAAGGGCAAAUUUGACUUUUCACUUGUUGGAUUGGUGUCUAAGCCACCUAAUCAAGCCUAACCAAGUAUAAUUUGCUAGAGCACUUAGAGUUUUUGAAGAGAUUUUGAAUUGCUACUGAUUUUCAUUCUACCUUUUGAACGUCUUAUUCUCCAAACCAUUCAAAGUGCUAAUAGGAAUAGUUGCUAGAAAUGUAAAAAUCAACAACUUUCAGUUUGACAGAAUCUUAAGUUUCUAUACGAAAUUUCAAGUUUGGAAUUUAACCCAAAAUUAAGCUUUCAAGGGCAAAUUUGACUUUUCACUUGCUGGAUUAGUGUCUAAGCCUCCUAAUCAAGCGUAACCAAGUAUAAUUUGCUAGAGCACUUAGAGUGUUUGAAGUGAUUUUGAAUUGCUACUGAUUUUGAUUCUAGCUUUUAAAACCUUUUCUUCUCGAAACCGUUUAAAGUGCUAAUAAGAAAAGUUGCUAUAAAUGUCAAACUCUACAACUUUUAGUUGACAAAAUCUUAAGUUUCUAUACAAAAUUUCGUAUUUCGAAUUUAACGCAAAAUUGAGCUUUUAAGGGCAAAUUUGACUUUUCACUUGUUGGAUUGGUGUCUAAGCCUCCUAAUCAAGCGUAACCAAGUAUAAUUUGCUAGAGCACUUAGAGUUUUUGAAGCGAUUUUGAAUUGCUACUGAUUUUCAUUCUAGCUUUUGAACCUCUUCCUCUCCAAACCAUUCAAAGUGCUAAUAGGAAUAGUUACUGGAUUAGUGUCUAAGCCUCCUAAUCAAGCGUAACCAAGUAUAAUUUGCUAGAGCACUUAGAGUGUUUGAAGUGAUUUUGAAUUGCUACUGAUUUUGAUUCUAGAUUUUGAACCUCUUCCUCUCCAAACCAUCCAAAGUCCUAAUUAGAAAAGUUGCUAGAAAUGUAAAACUCUACAACUUUUCGUUUGACAAAAACUUAAGUUUCUGUACAAAAUUUCAAGUUUCGAAUUUAACCCAAAAUUGAGCUUUCAAGGGCAAAUUUGACUUUUCACUUGCUGGUUUAGUGUCUAAGCCUCCUCAUCAAGCCUAACCAAGUAUAAUUUGCUAGAGCACUUAGAAUUUUUGAAGUGAUUUUGAAUUGCUACUAAUUUUCAUUCUAGCUUUUGAACCUCUUACUCUCCAAACCAUUCAAAGUCCUAAUUGGAAUAGUUGCUAGAAAUGUAAAAAUCUACAACUUUCGGUUUGACAGAAUCUUAAGUUUCUGUACGAAAUUUUAAGUUUCGAAUUUAACCCAAAAUUGAGCGUUGAAGGGCAAAUUUGACUUUUGACUUGCUGGAUUAGUGUCUAAGCCUCCUAAUCAAGCAUAAUCGUGUAUAAUUUGCUAGAGAACUUAGACUUUUUGAAGUGAUUUUGAAUUGCUACUGAUUUUGAUUCUAGCUUUUGAACCUUUUCUUCUCGAAACCAUUCAAAGUGCUAAUAAGAAAAGUUGCUAUAAAUGUCAAACUCUACAACUUUUAGUUUGACAAAAUCUUAAGUUUCUAUUCAAAAUUUCAUGUUUCGAGUUUAACGCAAAAUUGAGCUUUUAAGGGAAAACUUGACUUUUUACUUGUUGGAUUAGUGUCUAAGCCUCCUAUUCAAGCGUAACCAAGUAUAAUUUGCUAGAGCACUUAGAGGUUUUGAAGUGAUUUUGAAUUGCUAUUGAUUUUGAUUCUAGCUUUUGAACCUCUUCCUCUCCAAACCAUUCAAAGUGCUAAUAAGAAAAGUUGCUCGAAAUGUAAAACUCUAAAACUUUUCGUUUGACAAAAUCUUAAGUUUCUAUACGAAAUUUCAGGUUUCAAAUUUAACCCAAAAUUGAGUUGUUAAGGGCAAAUUUGACUUUUCACUUGUUGGAUUAGUGUCUAAGCCUCCUAAUCAAGCGUAACCAAGUAUAAUUUGCUAGAGCAUUUAGAGUUUUUGAGGUGAUUUUGAAUUGCUACUGAUUUUGAUUCUAGCUUUUGGACCUCUUUUUCUCCAAACCAUUCAAAGUGCUAAUACGAAAAGUUGCUAGAAAUGUAAAACUCUACAACCUUUCAUUUGACAGAAUCUUAAGUUUCUGUACGAAAUUUCAAGUUUCGAAUUUAACCGAAAAUUGAGCUUUCAAGGGCAAAUUUGACUUUUGACUUGCUGGAUUAGUGUCUAAGCCUCCAAAUCAAGCAUAACCAAGUAUAAUUUGCUAGAGAACAUAGACUUUUUGAAGUGAUUUUGAAUUGCUACUAAUUUUCAUUCUAGCUUUUGAACCUCUUCCUCUCGAAACCAUCCAAAGUGCUAAUUAGAAAAGUUGCUAGAAAUAUAAAACUCUACAACUUUUCGUUUGACAAAAAUUUGGGUUUUUAUACAAAAUUUCAAGUUUUGAAUUUAACCCAAAAUUGAGCUUUCAAGGACAAAUUUGACUUUUCACUUGCUGGAUUAGGGUCUAAGCCUCCUAAUCAAGCGUAAGGAAGUAUAAAUUGCUAGAGCACUUAGAGUGUUUGAAGUGAUUUUGAAUUGCUACUGAUUUUGAUUCUAGCUUUUGAAUCUUUUCUUCUCGAAACCGUUCAAAGUGCUAAUAAGAAAAGUUGCUAUAAAUGUCAAACUCUACAACUUUUAGUUUGACAAAAUCUUAAGUUUCUAUACAAAAUUUCAUGUUUCAAAUUUAACGCAAAAUUGAGCUUUUAAGGGCAAAUUUGACUUUUCACUUGUCGGAUUAGUGUCUAAGCCUCCUAAUCAAGCGUAACCAAGUAUAAAUUGCUAGAGCACUUAGAGUGUUUGAAGUGAUUUUGAAUUGCUGCUGAUUUUAAUUCUAGCUUUUGAACCUCUUCCUCUCCAAACCAUUCAAAGUGCCAAUAACAAAAGUUGCUAGAAAUGUAAAACUCUACAACAUUUCGUUUGACCAAAACUUCAGUUUCUAUACAAAAUUCCAUGUUUCGAAUUUAACCCAAAGUUGAGCUUUCAAGGGCAAAUUUGACUUUUCACUUGCUGGAUUAGUGUCUAAGCCUCCUAAUCAAGCGUAACCAAGUAUAAUUUGCUAGAGCACUUAGAGUGUUUGAAGUGAUUUUGAAUUGCUACUGAUUUUGAUUCUAGCUUUUAAAACCUUUUCUUCUCGAAACCGUUUAAAGUGCUAAUAAGAAAAGUUGCUAUAAAUGUCAAACUCUACAACUUUUAGUUGACAAAAUCUUAAGUUUCUAUACAAAAUUUCGUAUUUCGAAUUUAACGCAAAAUUGAGCUUUUAAGGGCAAAUUUGACUUUUCACUUGUUGGAUUGGUAUCUAAGCCUCCUAAUCAAGCGUAACCAAGUAUAAUUUGCUAGAGCACUUAGAGUUUUUGAAGUGAUUUUGAAUUGCUAGUGAUUUUGAUUCUAGCUUUUGAACCUCUUCCUGUCCAAACCAUUCAAAGUGCUAAUAAGAAAAGUUGCUAGAAAUGUAAAACUCUAAAACUUUUCGUUUGACAAAAUCUUAAGUUUCUAUACAAAAUUUCAUGUUUCGAAUUUAACCCAAAAUUGAGCUUUUAAGGGCAAAUUUGACUUUUCACUUGCUGGAUUAGUGUCUAAGCCUCGUAAUCAAGCGUAACCAAGUAUAAUUUGCUACAACACUUAGAGUUUUUGAAGCGAUUUUGAAUUGCUACUGAUUUUCAUUCUAGCUUUUGAACCUCUUCCUCUCCAAACCAUACAAAGUGCUAAUAGGAAUAGUUGCUGGAAAUGUAAAAAUCUACAACUUUUAGUUUGACAGAAUCUUAAGUUUCUAUACGAAAUUUCAAGUUUCGAAUUUAACCCAAAAUUGAGCUUUCAAGGGCAAAUUUGACUUUUGACUUGCUGGAUUAGUGUCUAAGCCUCCAAAUCAAGCAUAACCAAGUAUAAUUUGCUAGAGAACAUAGACUUUUUGAAGUGAUUUUGAAUUACUACUAAUUUUCAUUCUAGCUUUUGAACCUCUUCCUCUCGAAACCAUCCAAAGUGCUAAUUAGAAAAGUUGCUAGACAUAUAAAACUCUACAACUUUUCGUUUGACAAAAAUUUAGGUUUUUAUACAAAAUUUCAAGUUUUGAAUUUAACCCAAAAUUGAGCUUUCAAGGACAAAUUUGACUUUUCACUUGCUGGAUUAGGGUCUAAGCCUCCUAAUCAAGCGUAACGAAGUAUAAAUUGCUAGAGCACUUAGAGUGUUUGAAGUGAUUUUGAAUUGCUACUGAUUUUGAUUCUAGCUUUUGAAUCUUUUCUUCUCGAAACCGUUCAAAGUGCUAAUAAGAAAAGUUGCUAUAAAUGUCAAACUCUACAACUUUUAGUUUGACAAAAUCUUAAGUUUCUAUACAAAAUUUCAUGUUUCAAAUUUAACGCAAAAUUGAGCUUUUAAGGGCAAAUUUGACUUUUCACUUGUCGGAUUAGUGUCUAAGCCUCCUAAUUAAGCGUAACCAAGUAUAAAUUGCUAGAGCACUUAGAGUUUUUGAAGUGAUUUUGAAUUGCUGCUGAUUUUGAUUCUAGCUUUUGAACCUCUUCCUCUCCAAACCAAUCAAAGUGCUAAUAACAAUAGUUGCUAGAAAUGUUAAACUCUACAACAUUUCGUUUGACCAAAACUUCAGUUUCUAUACAAAAUUCCAUGUUUCGAAUUUAACCCAAAAUUGAGCUUUCAAGGGCAAAUUUGACUUUUCACUUGCUGGAUUAGUGUCUAAGCCUCCUAAUCAAGCGUAACCAAGUAUAAUUUGCUAGAGCACUUAGAGUGUUUGAAGUGAUUUUGAAUUGCUACUGAUUUUGAUUCUAGCUUUUAAAACCUUUUCUUCUCGAAACCGUUUAAAGUGCUAAUAAUAAAAGUUGCUAUAAAUGUCAAACUCUACAACUUUUAGUUGACAAAAUCUUAAGUUUCUAUACAAAAUUUCAUGUUUCGAAUUUAACGCAAAAUUGAGCUUUUAAAGGCAAAUUUGACUUUUCACUUGUUGGAUUGGUGUCUAAGCCUCCUAAUUAAGCGUAACCAAGUAUAAUUUGCUAGAGCACUUAGAGUUUUUGAAGUGAUUUUGAAUUGCUAGUGAUUUUGAUUCUAGCUUUUGAACCUCUUCCUGUCCAAACCAUUCAAAGUGCUAAUAAGAAAAGUUGCUAGAAAUGUAAAACUCUACAACUUUUCGUUUGACAAAAUCUUAAGUUUCUAUACAAAAUUUCAUGUUUCGAAUUUAACGCAAAAUUGAGCUUUUAAGGGUAAAUUUGACUUUUCACUUGCUGGAUUAGUGUCUAAGCCUCCUAAUCAAGCGUAACCAAGUAUAAUUUGCUACAGCACUUAGAGUUUUUGAAGCGAUUUUGAAUUGCUACUGAUUUUCAUUCUAGCUUUUGAACCUCUUCCUCUCCAAACCAUUCAAAGUGCUAAUAGGAAUAGUUGCUGGAAAUGUAAAAAUCUACAACUUUUAGUUUGACAGAAUCUUAAGUUUCUAUACGAAAUUUCAAGUUUCGAAUUUAACCCAAAAUUGAGUUGUUGAGGGCAAAUUUGACUUUUCACUUGCUGGAUUAGUGUCUAAGCCUCCUAAUCAAGCGUAACCUAGUAUAAUUUGCUAGAGCACAUAGAGUUUUUGAAGUGAUUUUGAAUUGCUACUAAUUUUCAUUCUAGCUUUUGAACCUUUUACUCUCCAAACCAUUCAAAGUGCUAAUAGGAAUAAUUGCUAGAAAUGUAAAAAUCUACAACUUUUAGUUUGAUAGAAUCUUAAGUUUCUAUACGAAAUUUCAAGUUUCGAAUUUAACCCAAAAAUGAGCUUUUAAGGGCAAAUUUGACUUUUGACUUGCUGGAUUAGUGUCUAAGCCUCCUAAUCAAGCAUAACCCAGUAUAAUUUGCAAGAGAACUUAGAGUUUUUGAAGUGAUUUUGAAUUGCUAGUGAUUUUCAUUCUAGCUUUUGAACCUCUUCCUCUCGAAACCAUCCAAAGUGCUAAUUAGAAAGGUUGCUAGAAAUGGAAAACUCUACAAAUUUUAGUUUGACAAAAAUUUAGGUUUUUAUACAAAAUUUCAUGUUUUGAAUUUAACCGAAAAUUGAGCUUUCAAGGACAAAUUUGACGUUUCACUUGCUGGAUUAGUGUCUAAGCCUCCUAAUCAAGCGUAACCAAGUAUAAAUUGCUAGAGCACUUAGAGUUUUUGAAGUGAUUUUGAAUUGCUACUGAUUUUGAUUCUAGCUUUUGAACCUCUUCCUAUCCAAACCAUUCAAAGUGCUAAUAAGAAAAGUUGCUAGAAAUGUAAAACUCUACAACGUUUCGUUUAACAAAAUCUUAAGUUUCUAUACAAAAUUUCAUGUUUCGAAUUUAACGCAAAAUUGAGCUUUUAAGGGUAAAUUUGACUUUUCACUUGCUGGAUUAGUGUCUAAGCCUCCUAAUCAAGCGUAACCAAGUAUAAUUUGCUACAGCACUUAGAGUUUUUGAAGCGAUUUUGAAUUGCUACUGAUUUUCAUUCUAGCUUUUGAACCUCUUCCUCUCCAAACCAUUCAAAGUGCUAAUAGGAAUAGUUGCUGGAAAUGGAAAAAUCUACAACUUUUAGUUUGACAGAAUCUUAAGUUUCUAUACGAAAUUUCAAGUUUCGAAUUUAACCCAAAAUUGAGUUGUUGAGGGCAAAUUUGACUUUUCACUUGAUGGAUUAGUGUCUAAGCCUCCUAAUCAAGCGUAACCUAGUAUAAUUUGCUAGAGCACUUAGAGUUUUUGAAGUGAUUUUGAAUUGCUACUAAUUUUCAUUCUAGCUUUUGAACCUUUUACUCUCCAAACCAUUCAAAGUGCUAAUAGGAAUAAUUGCUAGAAAUGUAAAAAUCUACAACUUUUAGUUUGAUAAAAUCUUAAGUUUCUAUACGAAAUUUCGAGUUUCGAAUUUAACCCAAAAUUGAGCUUUUAAGGGCAAAUUUGACUUUUGACUUGCUGGAUUAGUGUCUAAGCCUCCUAAUCAAGCAUAACCCAGUAUAAUUUGCAAGAGAACUUAGAGUUUUUGAAGUGAUUUUGAAUUGCUAGUGAUUUUCAUUCUAGCUUUUGAACCUCUUCCUCUCGAAACCAUCCAAAGUGCUAAUUAGAAAGGUUGCUAGAAAUGUAAAACUCUACAACUUUUAGUUUGACAAAAAUUUAGGUUUUUAUACAAAAUUUCAUGUUUUGAAUUUAACCGAAAAUUGAGCUUUCAAGGACAAAUUUGACGUUUCACUUGCUGGAUUAGUGUCUAAGCCUCCUAAUCAAGCGUAACCAAGUAUAAAUUGCUAGAGCACUUAGAGUGUUUGAAGUGAUUUUGAAUAUUUACUGAUUUUGAUUCUAGCUUUGAACCUCUUCCUCUUCAAACCAUUCAAAGUGCUAAUUAGAAAAGUUGCUAGAAAUGUAAAAUUCUACAACUUUUCGUUUGACAAAAACUUAAGAUUCUAUACAAAAUUCCAUGUUUCGAAUUUAACCCAAAAUUGAGCUUUCAAGGGCAAAUUUGACUUUUCACUUGCUGGAUUAGUGUCUAAGCCUCCUAAUCAAGCGUAACCAAGUAUAAUUUGCUAGAGCACUUAGAGUGUUUGAAGUGAUUUUGAAUUGCUACUGAUUUUCAUUCUAGCUUUUGAACCUUUUCUUCACGAAACCAUUCAAAGUGCUAAUAAGAAAAGUUGCUAUAAAUGUCAAACUCUACAACUUUUAGUUGACAAAAUCUUAAGUUUCUAUACAAAAUUUCAUGUUUCGAAUUUAACGCAAAAUUGAGCUUUUAAGGGCAAAUUUGACUUUUCACUUGUUGGAUUGGUGUCUAAGCCUCCUAAUCAAGCGUAACCAAGUCUAAUUUGCUAGAGCACUUAGAGUUUUUGAAGUGAUUUUGAAUUGCUAGUGAUUUUGAUUCUAGCUUUUGAACCUCUUCCUGUCUAAACCAUUCAAAGUGCUAAUAAGAAAAGUUGCUAGAAAUGUAAAACUCUACAACUUUUCGUUUGACAAAAUCUUAAGUUUCUAUACAAAAUUUCAUGUUUCGAAUUUAACCCAAAAUUGAGCUUUUAAGGGUAAAUUUGACUUUUCACUUGCUGGAUUAGUGUCUAAGCCUCCUAAUCAAGCGUAACCAAGUAUAAUUUGCUACAGCACUUAGAGUUUUUGAAGCGAUUUUGAAUUGCUACUCAUUUUCAUUCUAGCUUUUGAACCUCUUCCUCUCCAAACCAUUCAAAGUGCUAAUAGGAAUAGUUGCUGGGAAUGUAAAAAUCUACAACUUUUAGUUUGACAGAAUCUUAAGUUUCUAUACGAAAUUUCAAGUUUCGAAUUUAACCCAAAAUUGAGUUGUUGAGGGCAAAUUUGACUUUUCACUUGCUGGAUUAGUGUCUAAGCCUCCUAAUCAAGCGUAACCAAGUAUAAUUUGCUAAAGCACUUAGAGUUUUUGAAGUGAUUUUGAAUUGCUACUAAUUUUGAUUCUAGCUUUUGGACCUCUUCUUCUCCAAACCAUUCAAAGUGCUAAUACGAAAAGUUGUUAGAAAUGUAAAACUCUACAACCUUUCGUUUGAUAGAAUCCUAAGUUUCUAUACGAAAUAUCAAGUUUCGAAUUUAACCCAAAAUUGAGUUGUUAAGGGCAAAUUUGACUUUUCUCUUGCUGGAUUAGUGUCUAAGCCUCCUAAUCAAGCGUAACCAAGUAUAAAUUGCUAGAGCACAUAGAGUGUUUGAAGUGAUUUUGAAUUGCUACUGAUUUUCAUUCUAGCUUUUGAACCUCUUACUCUCCAAACCAUUCAAAGUGCUAUUAGGAAUAAUUGCUAGAAAUGUAAAAAUCUACAACUUUUAGUUUGAUAGAAUCUUAAGUUUCUAUACGAAAUUUCAAGUUUCGAAUGUAACCCAAAAUUGAGCUUUUGAGGGCAAAUUUGACUUUUGACUUGCUGGAUUAGUGUCUAAGCCUCCUAAUCAAGCAUAACCAAGUAUAAUUUGCAAGAGAACUUAGAGUUUUUGAAGUGAUUUUGAAUUGCUACUGAUUAUCAUUCUAGCUUUUGAACCUCUUCCUCUCGAAACCAUCAAAAGUGCUAAUUAGAAAGGUUGCUAGAAAUGUAAAACUCUACAACUUUUAGUUUGACAAAAAUUUAGGUUUUUAUACAAAAUUUCAUGUUUUGAAUUUAACCAAAAAUUGAGGUUUCAAGGACAAAUUUGACGUUUCACUUGCUGGAUUAGUGUCUAAGCCUCCUAAUCAAGCGUAACCAAGUAUAAAUUGCUAGAGCACUUAGAGUGUUUGAAGUGAUUUUGAAUUGCUACUGAUUUUGAUUCUAGCUUUGAACCUCUUCCUCUUCAAACCAUUCAAAGUGCUAAUUAGAAAAGUUGUUAGAAAUGUAAAACUCUACAACUUUUCGUUUGACAAAAACAUAAGAUUCUAUACAAAAUUCCAUGUUUCGAAUUUAACCCAAAAUUGAGCUUUCAAGGGCAAAUUUGACUUUUCACUUGCUGGAUUAGUGUCUAAGCCUCCUAAUCAAGCGUAACCAAGUAUAAUUUGCUAGAGCACUUAGAGUGUUUGAAGUGAUUUUGAAUUGCUACUGAUUUUCAUUCUAGCUUUUGAACCUUUUCUUCACGAAACCAUUCAAAGUGCUAAUAAGAAAAGUUGCUAUAAAUGUCAAAAUCUACAACUUUUAGUUGACAAAAUCUUAAGUUUCUAUACAAAAUUUCAUGUUUCGAAUUUAACGCAAAAUUGAGGUUUUAAGGGCAAAUUUGAGUUUUCACUUGUUGGAUUGGUGUCUAAGCCUCCUAAUCAAGCGUAACCAAGUAUAAUUUGCUAGAGCACUUAGAGUUUUUGAAGUGAUUUUGAAUUGCUAGUGAUUUUGAUUCUAGCUUUUGAACCUCUUCCUGUCCAAACCAUUCAAAGUGCUAAUAAGAAAAGUUGCUAGAAAUGUAAAACUCUACAACUUUUCGUUUGACAAAAUCUUAAGUUUCUAUACAAAAUUUCAUGUUUCGAAUUUAACCCAAAAUUGAGCUUUUAAGGGUAAAUUUGACUUUUCACUUGCUGGAUUAGUGUCUAAGCCUCCUAAUCAAGCGUAACUAAGUAUAAUUUGCUACAACACUUAGAGUUUUUGAAGCGAUUUUGAAUUGCUACUGAUUUUCAUUCUAGCUUUUGAACCUCUUCCUCUCCAAACCAUUCAAAGUGCUAAUAGGAAUAGUUGCUGGAAAUGUAAAAAUCUACAACUUUUAGUUUGACAGAAUCUUAAGUUUCUAUACGAAAUUUCAAGUUUCGAAUUUAACCCAAAAUUGAGUUGUUGAGGGCAAAUUUGACUUUUCACUUGCUGGAUUAGUGUCUAAGCCUCCUAAUCAAGCGUAACCAAGUAUAAUUUGCUAAAGCACUUAAAGUUUUUGAAGUGAUUUUGAAUUGCUACUAAUUUUGAUUCUAGCUUUUGGACCUCUUCUUCUCCAAACCAUUCAAAGUGCUAAUACGAAAAGUUGUUAGAAAUGUAAAACUCUACAACCUUUCGUUUGAUAGAAUCCUAAGUUUCUAUACGAAAUUUCAAGUUUCGAAUUUAACCCAAAAUUGAGUUGUUAAGGGCAAAUUUGACUUUUCUCUUGCUGGAUUAGUGUCUAAGCCUCCUAAUCAAGCGUAACCAAGUAUAAAUUGCUAGAGCACAUAGAGUGUUUGAAGUGAUUUUGAAUUGCUACUGAUUUUCAUUCUAGCUUUUGAACCUCUUACUCUCCAAACCAUUCAAAGUGCUAAUAGGAAUAAUUGCUAGAAAUGUAAAAAUCUACAACUUUUAGUUUGAUAGAAUCUUAAGUUUCUAUACGAAAUUUCAAGUUUCGAAUUUAACCCAAAAUUGAGCUUUUGAGGGCAAAUUUGACUUUUGACUUGCUGGAUUAGUGUCUAAGCCUCCUAAUCAAGCAUAACCAAGUAUAAUUUGCAAGAGAACUUAGAGUUUUUGAAGUGAUUUUGAAUUGCUACUGAUUUUCAUUCUAGCUUUUGAACCUCUUCCUCUCGAAACCAUCAAAAGUGCUAAUUAGAAAGGUUGCUAGAAAUGUAAAACUCUACAACUUUUAGUUUGACAAAAAUUUAGAUUUUUAUACAAAAUUUCAUGUUUUGAAUUUAACCAAAAAUUGAGGUUUCAAGGACAAAUUUGACGUUACACUUGCUGGAUUAGUGUCUAAGCCUCCUAAUCAAGCGUAACCAAGUAUAAAUUGCUAGAGCACUUAGAGUGUUUGAAGUGAUUUUGAAUUGCUACUGAUUUUGAUUCUAGCUUUGAACCUCUUCCUCUUCAAACCAUUCAAAGUGCUAAUUAGAAAAGUUGCUAGAAAUGUAAAACUCUACAACUUUUCGUUUGACAAAAACAUAAGAUUCUAUACAAAAUUCCAUGUUUCGAAUUUAACCCAAAAUUGAGCUUUCAAGGGCAAAUUUGACUUUUCACUUGCUGGAUUAGUGUCUAAGCCUCCUAAUCAAGCGUAACCAAGUAUAAUUUGCUAGAGCACUUAGAGUGUUUGAAGUGAUUUUGAAUUGCUACUGAUUUUCAUUCUAGCUUUUGAACCUUUUCUUCACGAAACCAUUCAAAGUGCUAAUAAGAAAAGUUGCUAUAAAUGUCAAACUCUACAACUUUUAGUUAACAAAAUCUUAAGUUUCUAUACAAAAUUUCAGGUUUCGAAUUUAACCCAAAAUUGAGCUUUUAAGGGCAAAUUUGACUUUUCACUUGCUGGAUUAGUGUCUAAGCCUCCUAAUCAAGCGUAACCAAGUAUAAUUUGGUACAGCACUUAGAGUUUUUGAAGCGAUUUUGAAUUGCUACUGAUUUUCAUUCUAGCUGUUGAACCUCUUCCUGUCCAAACCAUUCAAAGUGCUAAUAAGAAAAGUUGCUAGAAAUGUAAAACUCUACAACUUUUCGUUUGACAAAAUCUUAAGUUUCUAUACAAAAUUUCAUGUUUCGAAUUUAACCCAAAAUUGAGCUUUUAAGGGUAAAUUUGACUUUUCACUUGCUGGAUUAGUGUCUAAGCCUCCUAAUCAAGCGUAACCAAGUAUAAUUUGCUACAGCACUUAGAGUUUUUGAAGCGAUUUUGAAUUGCUACUCAUUUUCAUUCUAGCUUUUGAACCUCUUCCUCUCCAAACCAUUCAAAGUGCUAAUAGGAAUAGUUGCUGGGAAUGUAAAAAUCUACAACUUUUAGUUUGACAGAAUCUUAAGUUUCUAUACGAAAUUUCAAGUUUCGAAUUUAACCCAAAAUUGAGUUGUUGAGGGCAAAUUUGACUUUUCACUUGCUGGAUUAGUGUCUAAGCCUCCUAAUCAAGCGUAACUAAGUAUAAUUUGCUACAACACUUAGAGUUUUUGAAGCGAUUUUGAAUUGCUACUGAUUUUCAUUCUAGCUUUUGAACCUCUUCCUCUCCAAACCAUUCAAAGUGCUAAUAGGAAUAGUUGCUGGAAAUGUAAAAAUCUACAACUUUUAGUUUGACAGAAUCUUAAGUUUCUAUACGAAAUUUCAAGUUUCGAAUUUAACCCAAAAUUGAGUUGUUGAGGGCAAAUUUGACUUUUCACUUGCUGGAUUAGUGUCUAAGCCUCCUAAUCAAGCGUAACCAAGUAUAAUUUGCUAAAGCACUUAGAGUUUUUGAAGUGAUUUUGAAUUGCUACUAAUUUUGAUUCUAGCUUUUGGACCUCUUCUUCUCCAAACCAUUCAAAGUGCUAAUACGAAAAGUUGUUAGAAAUGUAAAACUCUACAACCUUUCGUUUGAUAGAAUCCUAAGUUUCUAUACGAAAUUUCAAGUUUCGAAUUUAACCCAAAAUUGAGUUGUUAAGGGCAAAUUUGACUUUUCUCUUGCUGGAUUAGUGUCUAAGCCUCCUAAUCAAGCGUAACCAAGUAUAAAUUGCUAGAGCACAUAGAGUGUUUGAAGUGAUUUUGAAUUGCUACUGAUUUUCAUUCUAGCUUUUGAACCUCUUACUCUCCAAACCAUUCAAAGUGCUAAUAGGAAUAAUUGCUAGAAAUGUAAAAAUCUACAACUUUUAGUUUGAUAGAAUCUUAAGUUUCUAUACGAAAUUUCAAGUUUCGAAUUUAACCCAAAAUUGAGCUUUUGAGGGCAAAUUUGACUUUUGACUUGCUGGAUUAGUGUCUAAGCCUCCUAAUCAAGCAUAACCAAGUAUAAUUUGCAAGAGAACUUAGAGUUUUUGAAGUGAUUUUGAAUUGCUACUGAUUUUCAUUCUAGCUUUUGAACCUCUUCCUCUCGAAACCAUCAAAAGUGCUAAUUAGAAAGGUUGCUAGAAAUGUAAAACUCUACAACUUUUAGUUUGACAAAAAUUUAGAUUUUUAUACAAAAUUUCAUGUUUUGAAUUUAACCAAAAAUUGAGGUUUCAAGGACAAAUUUGACGUUACACUUGCUGGAUUAGUGUCUAAGCCUCCUAAUCAAGCGUAACCAAGUAUAAAUUGCUAGAGCACUUAGAGUGUUUGAAGUGAUUUUGAAUUGCUACUGAUUUUGAUUCUAGCUUUGAACCUCUUCCUCUUCAAACCAUUCAAAGUGCUAAUUAGAAAAGUUGCUAGAAAUGUAAAACUCUACAACUUUUCGUUUGACAAAAACAUAAGAUUCUAUACAAAAUUCCAUGUUUCGAAUUUAACCCAAAAUUGAGCUUUCAAGGGCAAAUUUGACUUUUCACUUGCUGGAUUAGUGUCUAAGCCUCCUAAUCAAGCGUAACCAAGUAUAAUUUGCUAGAGCACUUAGAGUGUUUGAAGUGAUUUUGAAUUGCUACUGAUUUUCAUUCUAGCUUUUGAACCUUUUCUUCACGAAACCAUUCAAAGUGCUAAUAAGAAAAGUUGCUAUAAAUGUCAAACUCUACAACUUUUAGUUGACAAAAUCUUAAGUUUCUAUACAAAAUUUCAGGUUUCGAAUUUAACCCAAAAUUGAGCUUUUAAGGGCAAAUUUGACUUUUCACUUGCUGGAUUAGUGUCUAAGCCUCCUAAUCAAGCGUAACCAAGUAUAAUUUGGUACAACACUUAGAGUUUUUGAAGCGAUUUUGAAUUGCUACUGAUUUUCAUUCUAGCUGUUGAACCUCUUCCUGUCCAAACCAUUCAAAGUGCUAAUAAGAAAAGUUGCUAGAAAUGUAAAACUCUACAACUUUUCGUUUGACAAAAAUUUAAGUUUCUAUACAAAAUUUCAAGUUUCGAAUUUAACCCAAAAUUGAGCUUUUAGGGGUAAAUUUGACUUUUCACUUGCUGGAUUAGUGUCUAAGCCUCCUAAUCAAGCGUAACUAAGUAUAAUUUGCUACAACACUUAGAGUUUUUGAAGCGAUUUUGAAUUGCUACUGAUUUUCAUUCUAGCUUUUGAACCUCUUCCUCUCCAAACCAUUCAAAGUGCUAAUAGGAAUAGUUGCUGGAAAUGUAAAAAUCUACAACUUUUAGUUUGACAGAAUCUUAAGUUUCUAUACGAAAUUUCCAGUUUCGAAUUUAACCCAAAAUUUAGUUGUUGAGGGCAAAUUUGACUUUUCACUUGCUGGAUUAGUGUCUAAGCCUCCUAAUCAAGCGUAACCAAGUAUAAUUUGCUAAAGCACUUAGAGUUUUUGAAGUGAUUUUGAAUUGCUACUAAUUUUGAUUCUAGCUUUUGGACCUCUUCUUCUCCAAACCAUUCAAAGUGCUAAUACGAAAAGUUGUUAGAAAUGUAAAACUCUACAACCUUUCGUUUGAUAGAAUCCUAAGUUUCUAUACGAAAUUUCAAGUUUCGAAUUUAACCCAAAAUUGAGUUGUUUAGGGCAAAUUUGACUUUUCUCUUGCUGGAUUAGUGUCUAAGCCUCCUAAUCAAGCGUAACCAAGUAUAAAUUGCUAGAGCACAUAGAGUGUUUGUAGUGAUUUUGAAUUGCUACUGAUUUUCAUUCUAGCUUUUGAACCUCUUACUCUCCAAACCAUUCAAAGUGCUAAUAGGAAUAAUUGCUAGAAAUGUAAAAAUCUACAACUUUUAGUUUGAUAGAAUCUUAAGUUUCUAUACGAAAUUUCAAGUUUCGAAUUUAACCCAAAAUUGAGCUUUUGAGGGCAAAUUUGACUUUUGACUUGCUGGAUUAGUGUCUAAGCCUCCUAAUCAAGCAUAACCAAGUAUAAUUUGCAAGAGAACUUAGAGUUUUUGAAGUGAUUUUGAAUUGCUACUGAUUUUCAUUCUAGCUUUUGAACCUCUUCCUCUCGAAACCAUCAAAAGUGCUAAUUAGAAAGGUUGCUAGAAAUGUAAAACUCUACAACUUUUAGUUUGACAAAAAUUUAGAUUUUUAUACAAAAUUUCAUGUUUUGAAUUUAACCAAAAAUUGAGGUUUCAAGGACAAAUUUGAUGUUACACUUGCUGGAUUAGUGUCUAAGCCUCCUAAUCAAGCGUAACCAAAUAAAUUGCUAGAGCACUUAGAGUGUUUGAAGUGAUUUUGAAUUGCUACUGAUUUUGAUUCUAGCUUUGAACCUCUUCCUCUUCAAACCAUUCAAAGUGCUAAUUAGAAAAGUUGCUAGAAAUGUAAAACUCUACAACUUUUCGUUUGACAAAAACAUAAGAUUCUAUACAAAAUUCCAUGUUUCGAAUUUAACCCAAAAUUGAGCUUUCAAGGGCAAAUUUGACUUUUCACUUGCUGGAUUAGUGUCUAAGCCUCCUAAUCAAGCGUAACCAAGUAUAAUUUGCUAGAGCACUUAGAGUGUUUGAAGUGAUUUUGAAUUGCUACUGAUUUUCAUUCUAGCUUUUGAACCUUUUCUUCACGAAACCAUUCAAAGUGCUAAUAAGAAAAGUUGCUAUAAAUGUCAAACUCUAAAACUUUUAGUUGACAAAAUCUUAAGUUUCUAUACAAAAUUUCAUGUUUCGAAUUUAACCCAAAAUUGAGCUUUUAAGGGCAAAUUUGACUUUUCACUUGCUGGAUUAGUGUCUAAGCCUCCUAAUCAAGCGUAACCAAGUAUAAUUUGGUACAUCACUUAGAGUUUUUGAAGCGAUUUUGAAUUGCUACUGAUUUUCAUUCUAGCUGUUGAACCUCUUCCUCUCGAAACCUUCCAAAGUGCUAAUUAGAAAGGUUGCUAGAAAUGUAAAACUCUACAACUUUUUGUUUGACAAAAAUUUAGGUUUUUAUACAAAAUUUCAAGUUUUGAAUUUAACCCAAAAUUGAGCUUUCAAGGACAAAUUUGACGUUUCACUUGCUGGAUUAGUGUCUAAGCCUCCUAAUCAAGCGUAACCAAGUAUAAAUUGCUAGAGCACUUAGAGUGUUUGAAGUGAUUUUGAAUUGCUACUGAUUUUGAUUCUAGCUUUGAACCUCUUCCUCUUCAAACCAUUCAAAGUGCUAAUUAGAAAAGUUGCUAGAAAUGUAAAACUCUACAACUUUUCGUUUGACAAAAACUUAAGAUUCUAUACAAAAUUCCAUGUUUCGAAUUUAACCCAAAAUUGAGCUUUCAAGGGCAAAUUUGACUUUUCACUUGCUGGAUUAGUGUCUAAGCCUCCUAAUCAGGCGUAACCAAGUAUAAUUUGCUAGAGCACUUAGAGUUUUUGAAGUGAUUUUGAAUUGCUACUGAUUUUCAUUCUAGCUUUUGAACCUCUUCCUCUCGAAACCAUCCAAAGUGCUAAUUAGAAAGGUUGCUACAAAUGUAAAACUCUACAACUUUUAGUUUGACAAAAAUAUAGGUUUUUAUACAAAAUAUCAUGUUUUGAAUUUAACCCAAAAUUGAGCUUUCAAGGUCAAAUUUGACGUUUCACUUGCUGGAUUAGUGUCUAAGCCUCCUAAUCAAGCGUAACCAAGUAUAAUUGCUAGAGCACUUAGAGUGUUUGAAGUGAUUUUGAAUUGCUACUGAUUUUGAUUCUAGCUUUGAACCUCUUCCUCUUCAAACCAUUCAAAGUGCUAAUUAGAAAAGUUGCUAGAAAUGUAAAACUCUACAACUUUUCGUUUGACAAAAACUUAAGAUUCUAUACAAAAUUCCAUGUUUCGAAUUUAACCCAAAAUUGAGCUUUUAAGGGCAAAUUUGACUUUUCACUUGCUGGAUUAGUGUCUAAGCCUCCUUAUCAAGCGUAACCAAGUAUAAUUUGCUAGAGCACUUAGAGUUUUUGAAGUGAUUUUGAAUUGCUACUGAUUUUCAUUCUAGCUUUUGAACUUUUUCUUCACGAAACCAUUCAAAGUGCUAAUAAGAAAAGUUGCUAUAAAUGUCAAACUCUACAACUUUUAAUUGACAAAAUCUUAAGUUUCUAUACAAAAUUUCAUGUUUCGAAUUUAACGCAAAAUUGAGCUUUUAAGGGCAAAUUUGACUUUUCACUUGUUGGAUUGGUGUCUAAGCCUCCUAAUCAAGCGUAACCAAGUAUAAUUUGCUAGAGCACUUAGAGUUUUUGAAGUGAUUUUGAAUUGCUAGUGAUUUUGAUUCUAGCUUUUGAACCUCUUCCUGUCCAAACCAUUCAAAGUGCUAAUAAGAAAAGUUGCUAGAAAUGUAAAACUCUAAAACUUUUCGUGGGACAAAAUCUUAAGUUUCUAUACAAAAUUUCAUGUUUCGAAUUUAACCCAAAAUUGAGCUUUUAAGGGCUAAUUUGACUUUUCACUUGCUGGAUUAGUGUCUAAGCCUCGUAAUCAAGCGUAACCAAGUAUAAUUUGCUACAACACUUAGAGUUUUUGAAGCGAUUUUGAAUUGCUACUGAUUUUCAUUCUAGCUUUUGAACCUCUUCCUCUCCAAACCAUUCAAAGUGCUAAUAGGAAUAGUUGCUGGAAAUGUAAAAAUCUACAACUUUUAGUUUGACAGAAUCUUAAGUUUCUAUACGAAAUUUCAAGUUUUGAAUUUAACCCAAAAUUGAGUUGUUGAGGGCAAAUUUAACUUUUCACUUGCUGGAUUAGUGUCUAAGCCUCCUAAUGAAGCGUAACCUAGUAUAAUUUGCUAGAGCACUUAGAGUUUUUGAAGUGAUUUUGAAUUGCUACUAAUUUUGAUUCUAGCUUUUGGACCUCUUCUUCUCCAAGCCAUUCAAAGUGCUAAUAAGAAAAGUUGUUAGAAAUGUAAAACUCUACAACCUUUCGUUUGAUAGAAUCCUAAGUUUCUAUACGAAAUUUCAAGUUUUGAAUUUAACCCAAAAUACAGUUGUUAAGGGCAAAUUUGACUUUUCUCUUGCUGGAUUAGUGUCUAAGCCUCCUAAUCAAGCGUAACCAAGUAUAAAUUGCUAGAGCACAUAGAGUGUUUGAAGUGAUUUUGAAUUGCUACUGAUUUUCAUUCUAGCUUUUGAACCUCUUACUCUCCAAACCAUUCAAAGUGCUAAUAGAAAUAAUUGCUAGAAAUGUAAAAAUCUACAACUUUUAGUUUGAUAGAAUCUUAAGUUUCUAUACGAAAUUUCAAGUUUCGAAUUUAACCCAAAAUUGGGCUUUUAAGGGCAAAUUUGACUUUUGACUUGCUGGAUUAGUGUCUAAGCCUGCUAAUCAAGCAUAACCUAGUAUAAUUUGCAAGAGAACUUAGAGUUUUUGAAGUGAUUUUGAAUUGCUACUGAUUUUCAUUCUAGCUGUUGAACCUCUUCCUCUCGAAACCUUCCAAAGUGCUAAUUAGAAAGGUUGCUAGAAAUGUAAAACUCUACAACUUUUAGUUUGACAAAAAUUUAGGUUUUUAUACAAAAUUUCAAGUUUUGAAUUUAACCCAAAAUUGAGCUUUCAAGGACAAAUUUGACGUUUCACUUGCUGGAUUAGUGUCUAAGCCUCCUAAUCAAGCGUAACCAAGUAUAAAUUGCUAGAGCACUUAGAGUGUUUGAAGUGAUUUUGAAUUGCUACUGAUUUUGAUUCUAGCUUUGAACCUCUUCCUCUUCAAACCAUUCAAAGUGCUAAUUAGAAAAGUUGCUAGAAAUGUAAAACUCUACAACUUUUCGUUUGACAAAAACUUAAGAUUCUAUAAGAAAUUCCAUGUUUCGAAUUUAACCCAAAAUUGAGCUUUCAAGGGCAAAUUUGACUUUUCACUUGCUGGAUUAGUGUCUAAGCCUCCUAAUCAGGCGUAACCAAGUAUAAUUUGCUAGAGCACUUAGAGUUUUUGAAGUGAUUUUGAAUUGCUACUGAUUUUCAUUCUAGCUUUUGAACUUUUUCUUCACGAAACCAUACAAAGUGCUAAUAAGAAAAGUUGCUAUAAAUGUCAAACUCUACAACUUUUAAUUGACAAAAUCUUAAGUUUCUAUACAAAAUUUCAUGUUUCGAAUUUAACGCAAAAUUGAGCUUUUAAGGGCAAAUUUGACUUUUCACUUGUUGGAUUGGUGUCUAAGCCUCCUAAUCAAGCGUAACCAAGUAUAAUUUGCUAGAGCACUUAGAGUUUUUGAAGUGAUUUUGAAUUGCUAGUGAUUUUGAUUCUAGCUUUUGAACCUCUUCCUGUCCAAACCAUUCAAAGUGCUAAUAAGAAAAGUUGCUAGAAAUGUAAAACUCUAAAACUUUUCGUGGGACAAAAUCUUAAGUUUCUAUACAAAAUUUCAUGUUUCGAAUUUAACCCAAAAUUGAGCUUUUAAGGGCUAAUUUGACUUUUCACUUGCUGGAUUAGUGUCUAAGCCUCGUAAUCAAGCGUAACCAAGUAUAAUUUGCUACAACACUUAGAGUUUUUGCAGCGAUUUUGAAUUGCUACUGAUUUUCAUUCUAGCUUUUGAACCUCUUCCUCUCCAAACCAUUCAAAGUGCUAAUAGGAAUAGUUGCUGGAAAUGUAAAAAUCUACAACUUUUAGUUUGACAGAAUCUUAAGUUUCUAUACGAAAUUUCAAGUUUUGAAUUUAACCCAAAAUUGAGUUGUUGAGGGCAAAUUUAACUUUUCACUUGCUGGAUUAGUGUCUAAGCCUCCUAAUGAAGCGUAACCUAGUAUAAUUUGCUAGAGCACUUAGAGUUUUUGAAGUGAUUUUGAAUUGCUACUAAUUUUGAUUCUAGCUUUUGGACCUCUUCUUCUCCAAACCAUUCAAAGUGCUAAUAAGAAAAGUUGUUAGAAAUGUAAAACUCUACAACCUUUCGUUUGAUAGAAUCCUAAGUUUCUAUACGAAAUUUCAAGUUUUGAAUUUAACCCAAAAUACAGUUGUUAAGGGCAAAUUUGACUUUUCUCUUGCUGGAUUAGUGUCUAAGCCUCCUAAUCAAGCGUAACCAAGUAUAAAUUGCUAGAGCACAUAGAGUGUUUGAAGUGAUUUUGAAUUGCUACUGAUUUUCAUUCUAGCUUUUGAACCUCUUACUCUCCAAACCAUUCAAAGUGCUAAUAGAAAUAAUUGCUAGAAAUGUAAAAAUCUACAACUUUUAGUUUGAUAGAAUCUUAAGUUUCUAUACGAAAUUUCAAGUUUCGAAUUUAACCCAAAAUUGGGCUUUUAAGGGCAAAUUUGACUUUUGACUUGCUGGAUUAGUGUCUAAGCCUGCUAAUCAAGCAUAACCUAGUAUAAUUUGCAAGAGAACUUAGAGUUUUUGAAGUGAUUUUGAAUUGCUACUGAUUUUCAUUCUAGCUGUUGAACCUCUUCCUCUCGAAACCUUCCAAAGUGCUAAUUAGAAAGGUUGCUAGAAAUGUAAAACUCUACAACUUUUAGUUUGACAAAAAUUUAGGUUUUUAUACAAAAUUUCAAGUUUUGAAUUUAACCCAAAAUUGAGCUUUCAAGGACAAAUUUGACGUUUCACUUGCUGGAUUAGUGUCUAAGCCUCCUAAUCAAGCGUAACCAAGUAUAAAUUGCUAGAGCACUUAGAGUGUUUGAAGUGAUUUUGAAUUGCUACUGAUUUUGAUUCUAGCUUUGAACCUCUUCCUCUUCAAACCAUUCAAAGUGCUAAUUAGAAAAGUUGCUAGAAAUGUAAAACUCUACAACUUUUCGUUUGACAAAAACUUAAGAUUCUAUACAAAAUUCCAUGUUUCGAAUUUAACCCAAAAUUGAGCUUUCAAGGGCAAAUUUGACUUUUCACUUGCUGGAUUAGUGUCUAAGCCUCCUAAUCAAGCGUAACCAAGUAUAAUUUGCUAGAGCACUUAGAGUUUUUGAAGUGAUUUUGAAUUGCUAGUGAUUUUGAUUCUAUCUUUUGAACCUCUUUCUCUCCAAACCAUUCAAAGUGCUAAUAGGAAUAGUUGCUGGAAAUGUAAAAAUCUACAACUUUUAGUUUGACAGAAUCUUAAGUUUCUAUACGAAAUUUCAAGUUUCGAAUUUAACCCAAAAUUGAGUUGUUGAGGGCAAAUUUGACUUUUCACUUGCUGGAUUAGUGUCUAAGCCUCCUAAUCAAGCGUAACCAAGUAUAAUUUGCUAAAGCACUUAGAGUUUUUGAAGUGAUUUUGAAUUGCUACUAAUUUUGAUUCUAGCUUUUGGACCUCUUCUUCUCCAAACCAUUCAAAGUGCUAAUACGAAAAGUUGUUAGAAAUGUAAAAAUUUACAACCUUUCGUUUGAUAGAAUCCUAAGUUUCUAUACGAAAUUUCAAGUUUCGAAUUUAACCCAAAAUUGAGUUGUUAAGGGCAAAUUUGACUUUUCACUUGCUGGAUUAGUGUCUAAGCCUCCUAAUCAAGCGUAACCAAGUAUAAAUUGCUAGAGCACAUAGAGUGUUUGAAGUGAUUUUGAAUUGCUACUGAUUUUCAUUCUAGCUUUUGAACCUCUUACUCUCGAAACCAUUCAAAGUGCUAAUAGGAAUAAUUGCUAGAAAUGUAAAAAUCUACAACUUUUAGUUUGAUAGAAUCUUAAGUUUCUAUACGAAAUAUCAAGUUUCGAAUUUAACCCAAAAUUGAGCUUUUGAGGGCAAAUUUGACUUUUGACUUGCUGGAUUAGUGUCUAAGCCUCCUAAUCAAGCAUAACCAAGUAUAAUUUGCAAGAGAACUUAGAGUUUUUGAAGUGAUUUUGAAUUGCUACUGAUUUUCAUUCUAGCUUUUGAACCUCUUCCUCUCGAAACCAUCAAAAGUGCUAAUUAGAAAGGUUGCUAGUAAUGUAAAACUCUACAACUUUUAGUUUGACAAAAAUUUAGGUUUUUAUACAAAAUUUCAUGUUUUGAAUUUAACCAAAAAUUGAGGUUUCAAGGACAAAUUUGACGUUUCACUUGCUGGAUUAGUGUCUCUGCGUCCUAAUCAAGCGUAACCAAGUAUAAAUUGCUAGAGCACAUAGAGUGUUUGAAGUAAUUUUUAAUUGCUACUGAUUUUCAUUCUAGCUUUUGAACCUCUUACUCUCCAAACCAUUCAAAGUGCUAAUAGGAAUAAUUGCUAGAAAUGUAAAAAUCUACAACUUUUAGUUUGAUAGAAUCUUAAGUUUCUAUACGAAAUUUCAAGUUUCGAAUUUAACCCAAAAUUGAGCUUUUGAGGGCAAAUUUGACUUUUGACUUGCUGGAUUAGUGUCUAAGCCUCCUAAUCAUGCAUAACCAAGUAUAAUUUGAAAGAGAACUUAGAGUUUUUGAAGUGAUUUUGAAUUGCUACUGAUUUUCAUUCUAGCUUUUGAACCUCUUCCUCUCGAAACCAUCCAAAGUGCUAAUUAGAAAGGUUGCUAGAAAUGUAAAACUCUACAACUUUUAGUUUGACAAAAAUUUAGGUUUUUAUACAAAAUUUCAAGUUUUGAAUUUAACCCAAAAUUGAGCUUUCAAGGACAAAUUUGACGUUUCACUUGCUGGAUUAGUGUCUAAGCCUCCUAAUCAAGCGUAACCAAGUAUAAAUUGCUAGAGCACUUAGAGUGUUUGAAGUGAUUUUGAAUUGCUACUGAUUUUGAUUCUAGCUUUGAACCUCUUCCUCUUCAAACCAUUCAAAGUGCUAAUUAGAAAAGUUGCUAGAAAUGUAAAACUCUACAACUUUUCGUUUGACAAAAACUUAAGAUUCUAUACAAAAUUCCAUGUUUCGAAUUUAACCCAAAAUUGAGCUUUCAAGGGCAAAUUUGACUUUUCACUUGCUGGAUUAGUGUCUAAGCCUCCUAAUCAAGCGUAACCAAGUAUAAUUUGCUAGAGCACUUAGAGUGUUUGAAGUGAUUUUGAAUUGCUACUGAUUUUCAUUCUAGCUUUUGAACCUUUUCUUCACGAAACCAUUCAAAGUGCUAAUAAGAAAAGUUGCUAUAAAUGUCAAACUCUAUAACUUUUAGUUUGACAAAAUCUUAAGUUUCUAUACAAAAUUUCAUGUUUCGAAUUUAAUGCAAAAUUGAGCUUUUAAGGGCAAAUUUGACUUUUCACUUGUUGGAUUAGUGUCUAAGGCUCCUAAUCAAGCGUAACCAAGUAUAAUUUGCUAGAGCACUUAGAGUUUUUGAAGUGAUUUUGAAUUGCUAGUGAUUUUGAUUCUAUCUUUUGAACCUCUUCCUCUCCAAACCAUUCAAAGUGCUAAUAGGAAUAGUUGCUGGAAAUGUAAAAAUCUACAACUUUUAGUUUGACAGAAUCUUAAGUUUCUAUACGAAAUUUCAAGUUUCGAAUUUAACCCAAAAUUGAGUUGUUGAGGGCAAAUUUGACUUUUCACUUGCUGGAUUAGUGUCUAAGCCUCCUAAUCAAGCGUAACCAAGUAUAAUUUGCUAAAGCACUUAGAGUUUUUGAAGUGAUUUUGAAUUGCUACUAAUUUUGAUUCUAGCUUUUGGACCUCUUCUUCUCCAAACCAUUCAAAGUGCUAAUACGAAAAGUUGUUAGAAAUGUAAAAAUUUACAACCUUUCGUUUGAUAGAAUCCUAAGUUUCUAUACGAAAUUUCAAGUUUCGAAUUUAACCCAAAAUUGAGUUGUUAAGGGCAAAUUUGACUUUUCUCUUGCUGGAUUUGUGUCUAAGCCUCCUAAUCAAGCGUAACCAAGUAUAAAUUGCUCGAGCACAUAGAGUGUUUGAAGUGAUUUUGAAUUGCUACUGAUUUUCAUUCUAGCUUUUGAACCUCUUACUCUCCAAACCAUUCAAAGUGCUAAUAGGAAUAAUUGCUAGAAAUGUAAAAAUCUACAACUUUUAGUUUGAUAGAAUCUUAAGUUUCUAUACGAAAUUUCAAGUUUCGAAUUUAACCCAAAAUUGAGCUUUUGAGGGCAAAUUUGACUUUUGACUUGCUGGAUUAGUGUCUAAGCCUCCUAAUCAAGCAUAACCAAGUAUAAUUUGCAAGAGAACUUAGAGUUUUUGAAGUGAUUUUGAAUUGCUACUGAUUUUCAUUCUAGCUUUUGAACCUCUUCCUCUCGAAACCAUCAAAAGUGCUAAUUAGAAAGGUUGCUAGUAAUGUAAAACUCUACAACUUUUAGUUUGACAAAAAUUUAGGUUUUUAUACAAAAUUUCAUGUUUUGAAUUUAACCAAAAAUUGAGGUUUCAAGGACAAAUUUGCGUUUCACUUGCUGGAUUAGUGUCUAAGCGUCCUAAUCAAGCGUAACCAAGUAUAAAUUGCUAGAGCACAUAGAGUGUUUGAAGUAAUUUUUAAUUGCUACUGAUUUUCAUUCUAGCUUUUGAACCUCUUACUCUCCAAACCAUUCAAAGUGCUAAUAGGAAUAAUUGCUAGAAAUGUAAAAAUCUACAACUUUUAGUUUGAUAGAAUCUUAAGUUUCUAUACGAAAUUUCAAGUUUCGAAUUUAACCCAAAAUUGAGCUUUUGAGGGCAAAUUUGACUUUUGACUUGCUGGAUUAGUGUCUAAGCCUCCUAAUCAUGCAUAACCAAGUAUAAUUUGCAAGAGAACUUAGAGUUUUUGAAGUGAUUUUGAAUUGCUACUGAUUUUCAUUCUAGCUUUUGAACCUCUUCCUCUCGAAACCAUCCAAAGUGCUAAUUAGAAAGGUUGCUAGAAAUGUAAAACUCUACAACUUUUAGUUUGACAAAAAUUUAGGUUUUUAUACAAAAUUUCAAGUUUUGAAUUUAACCCAAAAUUGAGCUUUCAAGGACAAAUUUGACGUUUCACUUGCUGGAUUAGUGUCUAAGCCUCCUAAUCAAGCGUAACCAAGUAUAAAUUGCUAGAGCACUUAGAGUGUUUGAAGUGAUUUUGAAUUGCUACUGAUUUUGAUUCUAGCUUUGAACCUCUUCCUCUUCAAACCAUUCAAAGUGCUAAUUAGAAAAGUUGCUAGAAAUGUAAAACUCUACAACUUUUCGUUUGACAAAAACUUAAGAUUCUAUACAAAAUUCCAUGUUUCGAAUUUAACCCAAAAUUGAGCUUUCAAGGGCAAAUUUGACUUUUCACUUGCUGGAUUAGUGUCUAAGCCUCCUAAUCAAGCGUAACCAAGUAUAAUUUGCUAGAGCACUUAGAGUGUUUGAAGUGAUUUUGAAUUGCUACUGAUUUUCAUUCUAGCUUUUGAACCUUUUCUUCACGAAACCAUUCAAAGUGCUAAUAAGAAAAGUUGCUAUAAAUGUCAAACUCUAUAACUUUUAGUUUGACAAAAUCUUAAGUUUCUAUACAAAAUUUCAUGUUUCGAAUUUAAUGCAAAAUUGAGCUUUUAAGGGCAAAUUUGACUUUUCACUUGUUGGAUUAGUGUCUAAGGCUCCUAAUCAAGCGUAACCAAGUAUAAUUGGCAAGAGCACUUAGAGUUUUUGAAGUAAUUUUGAAUUGCUACUGAUUUUGAUUCUAGCUUGUGAACCUCUUCCCCUCCAAACCAUUCAAAGUGCUAAUAAGAAAAGUUGCUAGAAAUGUAAAACUCUACAACUUUUCAUUUGACAGAAUCUUAAGUUUCUAUACGAAAUUUCAAGUUUUGAAUUUAACCCAAAAUUGAUUUGUUACGGGCAAAUUUGACUUUUCACUUACUAGAUUAGUGUCUAAGCCUCCUAAUCAAGCGUAACCAAGUAUAAUUUGCUAGAGCACUUAGAGUUUUUGAAGUUAUUUUGAAUUGCUACUGAUUUUGAUUCUAGCUUGUGAACCUCUUCCUCUCCAAACCAUUCAAUGUGAGAAAAGUUGCUAGAAAUGUAAAACUCUACAACUUUUAGUUUGACAAAAACUUAGGUUUCUAUAAAAAAUUUCAUGUUUUGAAUCUAACCUAAAAUUGAGCUUUUAAGGGCAAAUUUGACUUUUCAUUUGCUGGAUUAGUGUCUAAGCCUCCUAAUCAAGCGUAGCCAAGUAUAAUUUGCUAGAGCACUUAGAGUUUUUGAAGUGAUUUUGAAUUGCUACUUAUUUUGAUUCUAGCUUUUG
RNAcentral lists this long non-coding RNA (31592 nucleotides) under Setaria viridis. Its description in RNAcentral is "long non-coding RNA (SVIR_LNC005576)". The record is from RNAcentral. Lineage: Eukaryota; Viridiplantae; Streptophyta; Magnoliopsida; Poales; Poaceae.